AGAGCGAACGCUGGCGGCGUGCUUAACACAUGCAAGUCGAGUGCGCGCCUGUAGCAAUACAGGUGGCGCACGGCGCACGGGUGCGUAACACGUGGGUAAUCUGCCCUUCGAUGGGGAAUAACCUCGCGAAAGCGAGGCUAAUUCCGCAUAACAUUCCGAUGGUUCCGAUCAAUGGACUCAAAGCCGUAAGGCGUCGGAGGAGGAGCCCGCGCACGAUUAGCUAGUUGGUGAGGUAACGGCUCACCAAGGCUUUGAUCGUUAGC
RNAcentral lists this ribosomal RNA (263 nucleotides) under uncultured bacterium. RNAcentral describes it as "partial small subunit ribosomal RNA". It matches the Rfam family "Bacterial small subunit ribosomal RNA", at positions 26 to 287 of the family's 1533-position model. The record is from RNAcentral.